UCCCUCUGGAACUACUACGAAAUCCAAUGCAAAUAGAAGCAAAGUUGAGUGCAUCUGCAUGUUCACCAACGAUUUGGUGAAUGAUGAAAUGGGUACUGUUGAAGACUAUCAACAAGACUAACUUUCCAUCAACUUGCGACCAAUUCAUCACAAAUACUCAACCUCAAAUCUGCUAUUAAUAUCAUGACGCCAUAACUGCUACGAACGAGAAGAAUCUCACCUUCGCUACAUUUGUCUGAGACUAACCUCGAAUUUCAUGAUACCAGUUAAUAAUUGGACGCCGUUUGUGCAACUGAUAACAUCACAGUGGCAGUCUGUUUGAAGAUCCAGACCAGCUCUGAAGCUGUGUAUCUGUUUGACUGGCAAAGGAUGUGAUCUGGUCUUGUAAAAGUUAGAGCAGGGCAAGAUUCUCUUUUGGUGGAAUGG
This 426-nucleotide long non-coding RNA is filed under the name Physcomitrium patens. Its description in RNAcentral is "long non-coding RNA (PPAT_LNC006754)". The record is from RNAcentral. Lineage: Eukaryota; Viridiplantae; Streptophyta; Bryopsida; Funariales; Funariaceae.